GCCGGCGUGGCUCAAUGGUAGAGCAGCUGAUUUGUAAUCAGCAGGUUGGGGGUUCGAUUCCCUUCGCCGGCUCCA
RNAcentral lists this transfer RNA (75 nucleotides) under Eubacteriales Family XIII. Incertae Sedis bacterium. Its description in RNAcentral is "tRNA-Thr". It matches the Rfam family "tRNA". Rfam says of the family: Transfer RNA (tRNA) molecules are approximately 80 nucleotides in length. Their secondary structure includes four short double-helical elements and three loops (D, anti-codon, and T loops). Further hydrogen bonds mediate the characteristic L-shaped molecular structure. tRNAs have two regions of fundamental functional importance: the anti-codon, which is responsible for specific mRNA codon recognition, and the 3' end, to which the tRNAs corresponding amino acid is attached (by aminoacyl-tRNA synthetases). tRNAs cope with the degeneracy of the genetic code in two manners: having more than one tRNA (with a specific anti-codon) for a particular amino acid; and 'wobble' base-pairing, i.e. permitting non-standard base-pairing at the 3rd anti-codon position. The record is from RNAcentral. Lineage: Bacteria; Bacillati; Bacillota; Clostridia; Peptostreptococcales; Anaerovoracaceae.